Non-coding RNA from Podarcis lilfordi (Lilford's wall lizard), 71 nucleotides. Lineage: Eukaryota; Metazoa; Chordata; Lepidosauria; Squamata; Lacertidae. The record is from the annotation of a GenBank genome assembly.
UGAUGGCUCAAUUGGCAGAGCAUAAGACUUUUAAUAUCAGGAUCGUGGGUUCAAGCACCACAUUGGCUAAA